AGCGAACGCUGGCGGCAGGCCUAACACAUGCAAGUCGAACGGACCCUUCGGGGUUAGUGGCGGACGGGUGAGUAACACGUGGGAACGUGCCUUUAGGUUCGGAAUAGCUCCUGGAAACGGGUGGUAAUGCCGAAUGUGCCCUUCGGGGGAAAGAUUUAUCGCCUUUAGAGCGGCCCGCGUCUGAUUAGCUAGUUGGUGAGGUAACGGCUCACCAAGGCGGCGAUCAGUAGCUGGUCUGAGAGGAUGACCAGCCACACUGGGACUGAGACACGGCCCAGACUCCUACGGGAGGCAGCAGUGGGGAAUCUUGCGCAAUGGGCGAAAGCCUGACGCAGCCAUGCCGCGUGAAUGAUGAAGGUCUUAGGAUUGUAAAAUUCUUUCACCGGGGACGAUAAUGACGGUACCCGGAGAAGAAGCCCCGGCUAACUUCGUG
RNAcentral lists this ribosomal RNA (433 nucleotides) under uncultured bacterium. Its description in RNAcentral is "partial 16S ribosomal RNA". It matches the Rfam family "Bacterial small subunit ribosomal RNA", at positions 29 to 507 of the family's 1533-position model. The record is from RNAcentral.